AUUGAACGCUGGCGGCAGGCCUAACACAUGCAAGUCGAGCGGAUGAAGGGAGCUUGCUCCUGGAUUCAGCGGCGGACGGGUGAGUAAUGCCUAGGAAUCUGCCUGGUAGUGGGGGAUAACGUCCGGAAACGGGCGCUAAUACCGCAUACGUCCUGAGGGAGAAAGUGGGGGAUCUUCGGACCUCACGCUAUCAGAGGAGCCUAGGUCGGAUUAGCUAGUUGGUGGGGUAAAGGCCUACCAAGGCGACGAUCCGUAACUGGUCUGAGAGGAUGAUCAGUCACACUGGAACUGAGACACGGUCCAGACUCCUACGGGAGGCAGCAGUGGGGAAUAUUGGACGAUGGGCGAAAGCCUGAUCCAGCCAUGCCGCGUGUGUGAAGAAGGUCUUCGGAUUGUAAAGCACUUUAAGUUGGGAGGAAGGGCAGUAAGUUAAUACCUUGCUGUUUUGACGUUACCAACAGAAUAAGCACCGGCUAACUUCGUG
RNAcentral lists this ribosomal RNA (484 nucleotides) under uncultured bacterium. RNAcentral's name for it is "partial 16S ribosomal RNA". It matches the Rfam family "Bacterial small subunit ribosomal RNA", at positions 30 to 507 of the family's 1533-position model. The record is from RNAcentral.